RNAcentral lists this transfer RNA (71 nucleotides) under Marmota monax (woodchuck). RNAcentral describes it as "tRNA.Ala". It matches the Rfam family "tRNA". From Rfam's summary of the family: Transfer RNA (tRNA) molecules are approximately 80 nucleotides in length. Their secondary structure includes four short double-helical elements and three loops (D, anti-codon, and T loops). Further hydrogen bonds mediate the characteristic L-shaped molecular structure. tRNAs have two regions of fundamental functional importance: the anti-codon, which is responsible for specific mRNA codon recognition, and the 3' end, to which the tRNAs corresponding amino acid is attached (by aminoacyl-tRNA synthetases). tRNAs cope with the degeneracy of the genetic code in two manners: having more than one tRNA (with a specific anti-codon) for a particular amino acid; and 'wobble' base-pairing, i.e. permitting non-standard base-pairing at the 3rd anti-codon position. The record is from RNAcentral. Lineage: Eukaryota; Metazoa; Chordata; Mammalia; Rodentia; Sciuridae.
GGGGUUGUGGCUCAGUGGCAGAGAGCUUGCCUAGCAUGCAUGAGGUACUGGGUUCGAUCCUCAGCACCACA